AAUAUUGGGCAAUGGGCGAAAGCCUGACCCAGCAACGCCGCGUGAGGGAAGUAGGUAAUCGGCUUGUCCGCCUCUGUCCUUGGGGACGCAGCACGUGACGGUACCCACGGAGGAAGCCACGGCUACCUACGUGCCAGCAGCCGCGGUAAUACGUAGGUGGCAAGCGUUGUCCGGCAUGACUGGGCGUAAAGGGCGUGUAGGUGGACUGAUCAGUCGGGUGUGAAAUAUCCGGGCUUAACCCGGGGGGUGCAUCCGAUACGGUUAGUCUUGAGUGCAGGAGAGGGCAGUGGAAUUCCCAGUGUAGCGGUGAAAUGCGUAGAUAUUGGGAGGAACACCAGUGGCGAAGGCGGCUGCCUGGACUGUAACUGACACUGAGGCGCGAAAGCGUGGGGAGCAAACAGG
This 402-nucleotide ribosomal RNA is filed under the name uncultured bacterium. RNAcentral describes it as "partial 16S ribosomal RNA". It matches the Rfam family "Bacterial small subunit ribosomal RNA", at positions 360 to 776 of the family's 1533-position model. The record is from RNAcentral.